CACCGGCGGCCCGAGUGGUGAUCGUGAUUAUUGGGUCUAAAGGGUCCGUAGCCGGUUUGGUCAGUCCUCCGGGAAAUCUGACGGCUCAACCGUUAGGCUUUCGGUGGAUACUGCCAGACUUGGAACCGGGAGAGGUAAGAGGUACUACAGGGGUAGGAGUGAAAUCUUGUAAUCCCUGUGAGACCACCUGUGGCGAAGGCGUCUUACCAGAACGGGUUCGACGGUGAGGGACGAAAGCUGGGGGCACGAACCGGAUUAGAUACCCGGGUAGUCCCAGCCGUAAACGAUGCUCGCUAGGUGUCAGGCAUGGCGCGACCGUGUCUGGUGCCGCAGGGAAGCCGUGAAGCGAGCCACCUGGGAAGUACGGCCGCAUGGCUGAAACUUAAAGGAAUUGGCGGGGGAGCACAACAACGGGUGGAGCCUGCGGUUU
Molecule: ribosomal RNA, 430 nt
Filed under: uncultured archaeon
Lineage: Archaea
Description: bacterial SSU rRNA
Rfam family: Archaeal small subunit ribosomal RNA
Source: RNAcentral